GCCCAGGUGGUGGAAUUGGUAGACACGCUAGCCUUAGGAGCUAGUGGGGCAACCCGUGAGAGUUCGAGUCUCUCCCUGGGCACCA
RNAcentral lists this transfer RNA (85 nucleotides) under Candidatus Peregrinibacteria bacterium CG11_big_fil_rev_8_21_14_0_20_46_8. RNAcentral describes it as "tRNA-Leu". It matches the Rfam family "tRNA". Rfam says of the family: Transfer RNA (tRNA) molecules are approximately 80 nucleotides in length. Their secondary structure includes four short double-helical elements and three loops (D, anti-codon, and T loops). Further hydrogen bonds mediate the characteristic L-shaped molecular structure. tRNAs have two regions of fundamental functional importance: the anti-codon, which is responsible for specific mRNA codon recognition, and the 3' end, to which the tRNAs corresponding amino acid is attached (by aminoacyl-tRNA synthetases). tRNAs cope with the degeneracy of the genetic code in two manners: having more than one tRNA (with a specific anti-codon) for a particular amino acid; and 'wobble' base-pairing, i.e. permitting non-standard base-pairing at the 3rd anti-codon position. The record is from RNAcentral. Lineage: Bacteria; Candidatus Peregrinibacteriota.